This 164-nucleotide ribosomal RNA is filed under the name Cuphea lanceolata. RNAcentral describes it as "5.8S ribosomal RNA". It matches the Rfam family "5.8S ribosomal RNA". Rfam says of the family: 5.8S ribosomal RNA (5.8S rRNA) is a component of the large subunit of the eukaryotic ribosome. It is transcribed by RNA polymerase I as part of the 45S precursor that also contains 18S and 28S rRNA. Lineage: Eukaryota; Viridiplantae; Streptophyta; Magnoliopsida; Myrtales; Lythraceae. The record is from RNAcentral.
AAACGACUCUCGGCAACGGAUAUCUCGGCUCUCGCAUCGAUGAAGAACGUAGCGAAAUGCGAUACUUGGUGUGAAUUGCAGAAUCCCGUGAACCAUCGAGUCUUUGAACGCAAGUUGCGCCCGACGCCAUUCGGCCGAGGGCACGUCUGCCUGGGUGUCACGCA